Lepus europaeus (European hare) is the source of this 4330-nucleotide long non-coding RNA. RefSeq lists it as uncharacterized. Lineage: Eukaryota; Metazoa; Chordata; Mammalia; Lagomorpha; Leporidae. The transcript has 3 exons. The record is from RefSeq and is a predicted model, not a curated record.
AAAUAAUAAUACAUUUUGUUUACUUGCUUAAUGGAACAUGUUAGUCACUAAUCAGAAAAUUCAGGUGAGCAGCAUAUUGACUGCGUGUAACAGCUCCAGUUCUUCAGCUCUCCUUUAUUCACGUCUGCUGCCACAGAGCAUUCUUGUGGCUUCCCACUCCUCUCUAGAUACCAGCCACAUUUCCUGGUUUGUACAGUGAGAUGUGUGCAGGUCAGACAGAAGAGAUUUGGAAAAUCAUGUACAUCUCCAUCCAGGCUCUUGAUCUUUUAUCACGGCCAUAACCAUAUGCCUGAGCAAGCCUUCUAUAGUCUAAAAGUCAUGCCUGUAUUCUGCUUUGGAGUCUGUUUGUAUGGAGCCAGAUGUAGAGCCAAGGUGCCCUAGUCAGGAAAGCUGAGGCCAUCCUAGGUUAGCUGCCAUCCAGAUGAAUUCCAGAUAUAUAAGUUGAGUCUAGCCCAAGUGAACUCCACCUCACAAACACAUGACCUAAUUAUGUAUAUCUUGCUGUAGAUCACCGAAUGUUUCGUAUUGUUAGAAUAUAUACUGAUAUAAUAUCUUCAUAUCAAUAUCUAGAAAAUGCAACUUUAAAUUUCAUUAGACUUCCCAGUGUGUUUGUAAAAUUUUAAAUAUAGUGAGCAGCUGGGACUUGAACCGACACCCAUAUGGGAUGCUGGCACUGCAGUUGGCAGCUUUACCUGCUAUGUCAUAGUGCUGGCCCCUUCCUAUGCAUUGAAAGCAUGUACAUAUUAACUUUCUCGCAUUUUAGUAGAAAAUGACCUAUAAGUGUUAUUUAAUUUUACUUAUCACAGUAAAGAACCAGUGUUAGCAAGUGGGCAUUAAGACUUGCUCAAGGGGCUGGCACUGUGGCAUAGAAAGUUAAGUCACCACAUGCAGUGCCAGCAUUCCACACGGGCACCAGUUUGAAUCCCAGCUGCUCCAUUUCCCAUCCAGCUCUCUGCUAGUGCUCCUGGGAAAGCAGUGGAAGAUGGUCCAAUUCUUUUUGGGCCUCUUCUACCCAAUGGGAAACCCAGAAGAAGCUGCUGGCUACUGGCUUUGGCCUGGCCCAGUCCCGGCUGUUGCAGCCAUUUGGGGAGUGAACAAGUGGAUGGAGGUUUUUGCUUCUCUCUCUCUCUUGCUCUUUAUCUCCCCUUCUUCCUCCUCUUUUUGCUCUCUCCCCUCUAACUCUGCCUUUCAAAUAAAGGAAUAAAUCUCUUUUUUUUAAAGAGUUUUUCAGAAUUUUCUGAACAUUUCAUUUUCUCAUCAAAAUAUCACUAAUCUCCCUUAACUCAAGAUCAGGUUUCCUGAAAAAUUGUCAGUUGGUCACAUUUCUUCUUUUCACAUGAUAUGGGAUAAAGACUUUUGCUUAUAAACAUAUUUAAAGUGACUUUUGCAGUCUCCUUUCCCCCUUAUAAACAUCCCCAUUGCAUAAGGCCACUAUAGACCUUAGCCUGCUGAACUUCCUAUAGCUCCCCACCUCUCUUCUGUGUUGGACCUUGAACAUGUGCCCUCCCUUUAAAUUCUGUACUUUGAUAAAAUUCCUUUUAUAAUCAAUAGUCAUAACUCCCAAUGCAAUCAUUUUGAGUCUAUGGAUAUUUUCUCUGAAGUCAUGAUGUUUCCAUGUUUGGAAAAAGAAACCUUUUUCACAAGUGUUUUUCUUGCGAAUCAUUAUUCCAAAAAUGUAUUUUUCCCUAUGUAUUUUUUAAAAUCUUUAUUUAUUUGAAAGGCAGAGUUACAGAGAGAGGUCUUCCAAUCCACUGGUUCUCUCCCCAGAUGGCCAUAAUGGCCAGAGCUGCACUGAUCCGAAGCCAAGAGCUUCUUCCAGGUCUCCCAUGUGGGUACAGAGGUCCAAGCACCUGAGCCAUUUUCUACUGCCUUCCCAGGCCAUAGCAGAGAACUGGAUUGGAAGGGGAGCAGCUGGGACUUGAAGCGGCACCCAUAUGGGAUGCCGGCACUGCAGUUGGCAGCUUUACCUGCUAUGCCACAGUGCUGGCCCCUCCCUAUGUAUUGAAAGCAUAUACUGUAUUCUCAUUUAUAACAAACUUAUAUUAAUAAAGCUCUUGAAUUCUAAACAGUUUCUUGUAUCAUGUCAUUUAAUUUUGAAGUUCUUCAGCAUGGAAAGGAAUACAGAAAGCAAAUUUUGAUAACAGUUAUUUAUUUAUUUAUUUUAUUUGUUUAGCACCAGUGCUUAUUUCAAGGAGAUGGGCUCAAGGACCAGGGUGUGUCCAGUGGAGUCCCAGGGUAUCCUGUUUCUCACAUGACCUUCAGGUUAAUGGAACUUUUUUUUAAAGAUUUAUUUAUUUAUUUGAAAAUCACAGUUACAUACAGAGAGGAGAGGCAGAGAGAGCGAGAGAGAGAGAGAGAGAGAGAGAGAGGUCUUCCAUCUGCUGGCUCAUUCCCCAAUUGGCUGCAAUGGCCAGAGCUGCACCAAUCUGAGGCCAGGAGCCAGUAGCUUCCUCCAGGUCUUCCUACAUGGGUGCAGGGGCCCAAGGAUUUUGACCAUCUUCUGCUUUCCCAGGCCACAGUAGAGAGCUGGAUUGGAAGUGGAGGAGCUGGGACUUAAACCUGUGCCCAUAUGGGAUGCUGGCAGUGCAGGUGGUAGCUUUACUUCAAUCCUCAUGAGUUUUUUGUGUUUGGCCAUAUGUGUAUAUUUUUUGUGUUUGGAGCAUAUGCUCCAAGCGGCAGGGGUCACCAGUCUUGAUGUGUCCUGUGAGAGCCCCCCCAGCCAUUAAACUGAGCUGGCCCAAGGUUCCAGAGAUGCCCCGCAUCCUGCGAUCAGGUACCACCAGCUUCCCCUUCCCCCACUCUGGACACCUGGCCCCACACACUUACCAUUCCCAGGUGUCCAAGAUGGGCUGUGUUGUGGUGGAAAAGGUCAGAGAACAGCAGAUGCCGCACUAGCUCCUGAGUCUCCCAGCGGCAGAGACCCCUCCUUGGACCUCUCUCCUCCAGGAAUUUGGAACUCUAUGGUGUCACAAUCCAAUGUGAUUAUGUGGCAGUGAUGUCACCGUGCCUGAUUGGACAGCUCACAUAGCCGUCAGCACACAGGACCCAGAAGUCACAACAAAUCAGCAUCUUUAAAGCAGGGACGUGUACUCCAGGCCACUCCAGAUGGUAGAGAGAUGAGGCCUGGAUUCAGGUGCCAAGGGCCUCCUCCAGGGCUGCACCCUUUCACCAGUGGGAUCCUGCCACCUGCUGGGACCCUCCUGCCUCCCCACAGGUCUACCUGGGAGAAUCCCACCUGGAGGCUGCAGUAACCUGCUUAGGUCAUGAGAUCCAAGGCCAAGAAAUUCAUGGUGCUGCCCAUGAGCCCAGCGCCGCCCACAGUGGAGCAGUUCCCGGAGGACGUGCACGGAGCACGGGCCAAGACCUUGUCUUCACCGCGCUGGCCCUGGAAGACCCCCCAGGAGACCCCAGGAGGAGUGAGGACCCCGAGGCUCAGAGGGAGCGGCUGUACCAGCAGAGCCAGGCCUAAGUGACCGCCAACGUAUGGCUGCAGCGGGCAGGUGAGGGGCUGAGGCAGCAGUGCCAGGGCCUGCAGUGAGCCGGCGCCAAGCUGGAACUGGACGUUGGCCACGUGAUGCGCUUAGUGCUGCCCGACGCCUCUGCCGCUACCUCCUCUGGCUGACCUGCGCCCUUCCCCGCCCCCGGCACAGGCUGGACCCUGUAUGGGCGCCUGAGACCACCUCCCCCCAGCGGACUCUGCCCAUCUCAUGGGGCCACUCUGCUCCCUUGCCUGGCGCUGGAUCAGCGCACCACUCCCUGGCUGAGAGGAGGAGCCGGCAGCCCUGGCGGGGCCCCGCAGGCCUCAUGCUGCCACUCCUGGGCAGGAGCCUCCCCUUCAUCACUGCGGGAGAGGCUGAUGUGGGGGACAGCCGAGCGUCCACGGGCUGGCAGGGCCUCUGUCCCUGGGAAGGUGUCCCUGCAUCCUGGGGGGCAGGACUGAGCCCCAGGGCCACAGGAGUUUCUCUUCCGCUGCCUGAGCUUCAGAGACCCCAGCCACAGCCUCUCAGCCGGGGCAGAGACUCCCCAGCCCACUAGGCACUGUCGGACCUGACAGAGUCUGGGCCACAGCCAAGGACGGAGCUGGACAGAGACGUCCCAGUGGGACAGUCUUCCUGGGCCAGUGGGGACCGCUGGCCUCCCUGCUCGUGGCCGGUGUGGGAGGCCCACAUCUGCCCCACUCAUGCAGCAGAGGCAACUGGACAGCUCUGUUUUUUAAAGUUGUGCAACACUGAUGCAGGGUAUGUGGUCCUUCCGCCAGCCGGCGGCUUUACAUGGGGUGCUGGCGGGUGGCGCGCUAUGUACACAUGGGACAGAUGCUGCAGGGCGGCGU